GUUUCCUUGCGCAGCUACACAUGCAAGUCGAGCGGUAGCACAGAGAGCUUGCUCUCGGGUGACGAGCGGCGGACGGGUGAGUAAUGUCUGGGAAACUGCCUGAUGGAGGGGGAUAACUACUGGAAACGGUAGCUAAUACCGCAUAAUGUCGCAAGACCAAAGUGGGGGACCUUCGGGCCUCAUGCCAUCAGAUGUGCCCAGAUGGGAUUAGCUAGUAGGUGGGGUAACGGCUCACCUAGGCGACGAUCCCUAGCUGGUCUGAGAGGAUGACCAGCCACACUGGAACUGAGACACGGUCCAGACUCCUACGGGAGGCAGCAGUGGGGAAUAUUGCACAAUGGGCGCAAGCCUGAUGCAGCCAUGCCGCGUGUAUGAAGAAGGCCUUCGGGUUGUAAAGUACUUUCAGCGGGGAGGAAGGCGAUAAGGUUAAUAACCUUGUCGAUUGACGUUACCCGCAGAAGAAGCACCGGCUAACUCCGUGCCAGCAGCCGCGGUAAUACGGAGGGUGCAAGCGUUAAUCGGAAUUACUGGGCGUAAAGCGCACGCAGGCGGUCUGUCAAGUUCGGAUGU
RNAcentral lists this ribosomal RNA (570 nucleotides) under Bacillus sp. gx-160. Its description in RNAcentral is "bacterial SSU rRNA". It matches the Rfam family "Bacterial small subunit ribosomal RNA", at positions 31 to 596 of the family's 1533-position model. The record is from RNAcentral. Lineage: Bacteria; Bacillati; Bacillota; Bacilli; Caryophanales; Bacillaceae.